Antechinus flavipes (yellow-footed antechinus) is the source of this 724-nucleotide long non-coding RNA. RefSeq lists it as uncharacterized. The record is from RefSeq and is a predicted model, not a curated record. The transcript is spliced from 3 exons. NCBI's taxonomy places the organism in Eukaryota, Metazoa, Chordata, Mammalia, Dasyuromorphia, Dasyuridae.
GCCUUUCUUUUCCCAUGUCUGUAUAGACUAUGCAGCUUGUUGGCUUGGUUUCUGUUACCUUGGUACCUUCAGGUUUCUGUGGAGUACACAAAGCUGGGUGGGUUGAGAAAAGCAGAAGAAAGAAGGAUCAAGAAAAACUAUUAAACAACUUCAGAAUCCUGCUGUUGUCCAUUGAAAGGGACCCAUUUUGACAUAACAAUUUGUAUUUUUAACAACAACAAAAAAAAAAAAAAAAGAAAGAAAAAAGAAGCAUAACUCAAUAUAUUAAAAAUAUCUUAAGUUUAUGCAAAGUGCAAUGUAUGUGAACCUUUAUCUCUGCAAAAGGUUAUUUCUACCUUCUGAAUCCAAUUCUCCCUGUGCAACAAGAGAACUGUUCGGUUCUGCACACAUAUACUGUAUCUAGGAUAUACUGCAACAUAUCUAACAUAUAUAGGACUGAUUGCCAUCUGGGGGAGGGGGUGGAGGGAGGGAGAGGAAAAAUCGGAACAGAAGUGAGUGUAAGGGAUAAUGUAAAAAAUUACCCUGGCAUGGGUUCUGUCAAUUAAAAGUUAUUAAAAAAAAAAAAAAAGAAUGUGGACCCUUUGUUUUAUAGAUGAAGAAACAAGUCUAGAGAUUAAGUGGCCCACCCAAAGGGAUGGAAUGAAUGCUGCAGCAGAGUGCAGGAAUUAUCUUGACAACGAAUGAUCUCCCAAUCCCUCCCCCAUCCAAUCUAAACUGGCCCAGU